RNAcentral lists this ribosomal RNA (253 nucleotides) under uncultured bacterium. RNAcentral's name for it is "partial 16S ribosomal RNA". It matches the Rfam family "Bacterial small subunit ribosomal RNA", at positions 524 to 776 of the family's 1533-position model. The record is from RNAcentral.
GACGUAGGGCGCGAGCGUUGUCCGGAUUUAUUGGGCGUAAAGAGCUCGUAGGCGGCUUGUCGCGUCGACCGUGAAAACUUGGGGCUCAACCCCAAGCCUGCGGUCGAUACGGGCAGGCUAGAGUUCGGUAGGGGAGACUGGAAUUCCUGGUGUAGCGGUGAAAUGCGCAGAUAUCAGGAGGAACACCGGUGGCGAAGGCGGCGACCUGGGUAGAUACUGACGCUGAGGCGCGAAAGCGUGGGGAGCAAACAGG